CUUUCGCUUUGAAGAAAACAUGUGUGGACAAACAUGAUGUUUAUAAUUCAAGAAUAUCAUGUAUAAACAUACCACCAACCCUUUGUCGCAGUAUUCAUUGCUUUCGUUUCGUUUCUUUUCAUGCACGGGAAAAAAUAGUUUAUCCUAAAACAUUUCCUUGUAGAGUAUUUUUUUCACAGAAACUAACUAGCAAAAUUUAGCUCGUUAUGAAAAAAUAACAUGAACUCAGAGGCUAUGAAUUCAUGCACAUUUUGCAAGUCUGAUCAAAUAAUCCAUAGCUAUUUCCCUUGAAAAGGAAACAUUCUCUGAACAAAAAAAGGUUCUAUGAUUUUUUUUCCUUGCAUGUUGCCAAUUGAAGUCUGAGGAACCGCGGAGGCACAGCGGGGUGACUUGUUCAAAAAGUUGAUAAUAGCCGAUGUUACAUAAAUUCAAUUUAUAAAUUGUUGCGUGGACUAAAUAUUAAUUGUGAAGAACUCUGAUAUCAAUUGACGCUUAUUUUGUUCAGAACAGAUAAAGAGGUUGUAGCAUGUACCACAAAUUACUUUGGAGAACCCCUCGUACUAUUUUCUUCAGCUCAGAAUCAACAGCGGUGUGUGCUUCUGAGUGUCUUUCUCUGUGUAGAAUGAGAUGCAUGGCAAUGCGAGUGCCGUUCCCAUUUUCGAUUUGGGCGGCUGACCAUAUUGAGUGCCAGGUGUAACUCGGCGGCUCAAUUUAGCCAUGACGCAGAGCACCAACACAUGCCUCGUAGACUUUUUUUUCAUUUUCUGUUUUUUUCCCCCAAGUGGAAAGAGUCUUUCGGCGGGUUUUCUUGUUAUUGGAAACCUAAAACCGGCCAGCGACUCGACUUAAACUGCGCUCGGGAGAUGAAAAGAGAAUUGCCCGCGAACGUUUGAAAGCGGGACAAAUCCAAGCACAGAAGGGACUUCGGAACGACUACGGAAUUGCUAACAUCGUUAACAAUUGCGUAGUUCCGGUUCCAAUGAAUAUCUGGCUGAUCUGAGGAUCGAAAAGUGUGGUCGCCCAUUCUGACUUUGUCAGUGGAAGACGGUAGAAGCGGUCAGUAAUUGUGUACCGCGUAGUAAAAGAUUGAAGUGUGAUUAGAUUAGCGUGAUUAGCAUAAGUGUAUCAUUGUUACGCUGAAAGGGAUAGAUACUCUCCAGUGCACCAGCAAAUUAAAUUGGAGGGAGUACCGCUACUGACCCCACGUACGAGGUCCGGAAUUUUGCCGCCACACUCGUCAAUUCUGGUGGCCGCGCGGAGCGCUUACGCAAAACGGCACUCGCGCAAGAAAGGAAAUCAUCACAGGGUACGCAGCACGGAGCCAUCACUCGUCCGUGUGCGGACUCGAGAUUCAUUGUCCCGUUCAUCGUCUGCAGCGAACGACGGUAAAGCAGAACCACGUAAAACCUAGGUCGUGAGUACAAAUCUAUUUAUUUCCGUAACUAAUACAUGCGCAUGUAGGGAAUAAAUAGAGACAGAAAAACCACACAAAACCAACGAAUGCCACACGAAACAAAAGCCACACUAAGUUGAAGCGUGUUCUGGAUGAUCCGAUACCGAUGGUGAGCACAUGCCCAUCGGUAUAGAAGAACGCUUGGUCGAGGUGCAAACGUAGGGUAGAUAGGAAACGCGCAGUUCCGAAACUCAGGGUCUGAUGUUCGAAACCCGAGGGAAAUUAAAUGAAAAUAUGUAUAUGUUUAAAUUAAGGUUGUUGAAAUAAUCAUGUUUGUAUAAAAUUAUAUCGUCUGUAGUUGAAUGCUGUUUGAAUAUAUACAUGAGUUUGUU
This is a long non-coding RNA of Toxorhynchites rutilus septentrionalis, 1785 nucleotides long. RefSeq lists it as uncharacterized. NCBI's taxonomy places the organism in Eukaryota, Metazoa, Arthropoda, Insecta, Diptera, Culicidae. The transcript is spliced from 3 exons. The record is from RefSeq and is a predicted model, not a curated record.